Molecule: long non-coding RNA, 327 nt
Filed under: Elaeis guineensis (African oil palm)
Lineage: Eukaryota; Viridiplantae; Streptophyta; Magnoliopsida; Arecales; Arecaceae
Description: long non-coding RNA (EGUI_LNC059200)
Source: RNAcentral
GGCUCCCAAUCGGAGUCGGAGACGAGCUCCCUCCGGCUCUAUUUAAGGAGGAGAUCCCUCCUCUCUUCCUUCCACCAAAGUAUCUAAGUCCGGUCGGCGGCAAUCACCGGAAAAAUCCCACGGAAGACCGUUCCUGUGCUGUCUAAUUUCUCGCCGGAAAAGCUUCGCCGGCGUCAGAGGUAAGCCUCCUCCCCUUCCUCUCUUCUCCCCCUUCCUUCCCAUGCUGAUGUGCACGCUUGCCGGCGACCAGAGUCUCCGAAUUUUGUUGCGGAAGUAACUUUCAUUUUUUACCGUUUCUCUUUGAUUCCGACGCCGGUGGUCACCGCC